RNAcentral lists this ribosomal RNA (240 nucleotides) under Klebsiella pneumoniae subsp. pneumoniae KPNIH17. Its description in RNAcentral is "partial 23S ribosomal RNA". It matches the Rfam family "Bacterial large subunit ribosomal RNA", at positions 2693 to 2925 of the family's 2925-position model. Lineage: Bacteria; Pseudomonadati; Pseudomonadota; Gammaproteobacteria; Enterobacterales; Enterobacteriaceae. The record is from RNAcentral.
CGGAGUGGACGCAUCACUGGUGUUCGGGUUGUCAUGCCAAUGGCACUGCCCGGUAGCUAAAUGCGGAAGAGAUAAGUGCUGAAAGCAUCUAAGCACGAAACUUGCCCCGAGAUGAGUUCUCCCUGAGACUUUAAGUCUCCUGAAGGAACGUUGAAGACGACGACGUUGAUAGGCCGGGUGUGUAAGCGCAGCGAUGCGUUGAGCUAACCGGUACUAAUGAACCGUGAGGCUUAACCUUAC